This 77-nucleotide transfer RNA is filed under the name Escherichia coli. Its description in RNAcentral is "tRNA-Pro". It matches the Rfam family "tRNA". From Rfam's summary of the family: Transfer RNA (tRNA) molecules are approximately 80 nucleotides in length. Lineage: Bacteria; Pseudomonadati; Pseudomonadota; Gammaproteobacteria; Enterobacterales; Enterobacteriaceae. The record is from RNAcentral. RNAcentral also lists the same sequence under 1 other name.
CGGCACGUAGCGCAACCUGGUAGCGCACCGUCAUGGGGUGUCGGGGGUCGGAGGUUCAAAUCCUCUCGUGCCGACCA